This 1199-nucleotide ribosomal RNA is filed under the name Lactobacillus helveticus. RNAcentral describes it as "bacterial SSU rRNA". It matches the Rfam family "Bacterial small subunit ribosomal RNA", at positions 1 to 1168 of the family's 1533-position model. The record is from RNAcentral. Lineage: Bacteria; Bacillati; Bacillota; Bacilli; Lactobacillales; Lactobacillaceae.
CAAAAUGAGAGUUUGAUCCUGGCUCAGGACGAACGCUGGCGGCGUGCCUAAUACAUGCAAGUCGAGCGAGCAGAACCAGCAGAUUUACUUCGGUAAUGACGCUGGGGACGCGAGCGGCGGAUGGGUGAGUAACACGUGGGGAACCUGCCCCAUAGUCUGGGAUACCACUUGGAAACAGGUGCUAAUACCGGAUAAUAAAGCAGAUCGCAUGAUCAGCUUAUAAAAGGCGGCGUAAGCUGUCGCUAUGGGAUGGCCCCGCGGUGCAUUAGCUAGUUGGUAAGGUAACGGCUUACCAAGGCAAUGAUGCAUAGCCGAGUUGAGAGACUGAACGGCCACAUUGGGACUGAGACACGGCCCAAACUCCUACGGGAGGCAGCAGUAGGGAAUCUUCCACAAUGGACGCAAGUCUGAUGGAGCAACGCCGCGUGAGUGAAGAAGGUUUUCGGAUCGUAAAGCUCUGUUGUUGGUGAAGAAGGAUAGAGGUAGUAACUGGCCUUUAUUUGACGGUAAUCAACCAGAAAGUCACGGCUAACUACGUGCCAGCAGCCGCGGUAAUACGUAGGUGGCAAGCGUUGUCCGGAUUUAUUGGGCGUAAAGCGAGCGCAGGCGGAAGAAUAAGUCUGAUGUGAAAGCCCUCGGCUUAACCGAGGAAUUGCAUCGGAAACUGUUUUUCUUGAGUGCAGAAGAGGAGAGUGGAACUCCAUGUGUAGCGGUGGAAUGCGUAGAUAUAUGGAAGAACACCAGUGGCGAAGGCGGCUCUCUGGUCUGCAACUGACGCUGAGGCUCGAAAGCAUGGGUAGCGAACAGGAUUAGAUACCCUGGUAGUCCAUGCCGUAAACGAUGAGUGCUAAGUGUUGGGAGGUUUCCGCCUCUCAGUGCUGCAGCUAACGCAUUAAGCACUCCGCCUGGGGAGUACGACCGCAAGGUUGAAACUCAAAGGAAUUGACGGGGGCCCGCACAAGCGGUGGAGCAUGUGGUUUAAUUCGAAGCAACGCGAAGAACCUUACCAGGUCUUGACAUCUAGUGCCAUCCUAAGAGAUUAGGAGUUCCCUUCGGGGACGCUAAGACAGGUGGUGCAUGGCUGUCGUCAGCUCGUGUCGUGAGAUGUUGGGUUAAGUCCCGCAACGAGCGCAACCCUUAUUAUUAGUUGCCAGCAUUAAGUUGGGCACUCUAAUGAGACUGCCGGUGACAAACCGGAG